UACGGAGGGUGCAAACGUUGCUCGGAAUCAUUGGGCGUAAAGCGCACGUAGGCGGCCUGUUAAGUCGGAUGUGAAAGCCCCGGGCUCAGCCCGGGAAGGGCGCUAGAAACUGCCGAGCUCGAGUGCCGGAGGGGAGAGUGGAAUUCCUGGUGUAGCGGUGAAAUGCGUAGAUAUCAGGAGGAAUACCGGUGGCGAAAGCGACUCUCUGGACGGCAACUGACGCUGAGGCACGAAAGCGUGGGGAGCAAACAGG
RNAcentral lists this ribosomal RNA (253 nucleotides) under uncultured bacterium. Its description in RNAcentral is "partial 16S ribosomal RNA". It matches the Rfam family "Bacterial small subunit ribosomal RNA", at positions 524 to 776 of the family's 1533-position model. The record is from RNAcentral.